GCUUAACAUCUCUUCCUAUUUCAAACAAUGGUUCAAUGAAUGUGCUUAUACGUUUUUCCUUGUGUGCAUGGAGGUUAAAAUGCAGAGUCACUGAGUGUGCAUUUUAAAAAUUUCAGUAGAAUCUGUCAAAUUGCCCUUACAGGUUGCUGCACCAAUAUAUAUUCCCACCAGCAGAGCAUGAAAUACCUAUUUUAUCCAUGGUCUUGCCAAUAUUUGAUAAUAUCAAAUUUGAUUAUUUAUUUAUUUGACACAGGGUCUUGCUCUGUCGCCCAGGCUGGAGUACAGUGGUGUGAUCACUGCUCACUGCAGCCUCAACCUUCCAGGUUCAAGUGAUCCUCCCACCUCAGCUUUCCAAGGAGCUGGGACUACAGGCCUGAGACCCCUUACUUCCACCUUGUGAGGACACAGUGAGAAGAUUCCCUCCAUUAGGAAGGUGGCCCUCAACCAGACACCAAAUCUGCUGUUGCCUUGAUCUUGGACUUCCCAGCUUCAGAACUAGUUUCACUCUAUCUCCCAGGCUGGAGUGCAGUCACAUGAUCUCGGCUCACUGCAAGCUCCACUUCCUGAGUUCAAGCGGUUCUCCUGCCUCUGCUUCCUGAGUAGCUGGGACUACAGGCACACACCACCAUGCCCAGCUAACUUCUGCUUUUUUGUAGAAACGGGAUUUCACCAUGUUGGCCAGGCUGGUCUCGAAUGCCUGACCUCAAGUACCUGCCUCGGCCUCCCAAAGCACUGGGAUUACAGGCGGUGGAGUACAGUGGCACAAUCAUGGCUCACUGCAGGUUCCACCUCCUGGUCUCAAGCAACUCUUCUGCCUCAGCCUCCCGAGUAGCUGGGACUAUAGGCUCAGGCUGGAUGUAUACCGUCAGCUCUCCUGGAUUUGAACUUCUCAGCCUCCAUAACUGUGUGAGUCAAUUCAUUAUAAUAAACAAAUCUCUCUCUCUAUCUCUAUUUCUCUACAUCUCUGUGUCCAUACAUCCUAUUGGGUCUGUCUCUCUGGAGAACCCUGAGUAA
This 1014-nucleotide long non-coding RNA is filed under the name Papio anubis (olive baboon). RNAcentral's name for it is "lncRNA (ENSPANG00000044392.1)". Lineage: Eukaryota; Metazoa; Chordata; Mammalia; Primates; Cercopithecidae. The record is from RNAcentral.